CCUACGGGCGGCAGCAGUGGGGAAUAUUGGACAAUGGGGGCAACCCUGAUCCAGCCAUGCCGCGUGUGUGAAGAAGGCCCUCGGGUUGUAAAGCACUUUCAGUGAGGAAGAACGCCUGGUGGUUAAUACCCAUCAGGAAAGACAUCACUCACAGAAGAAGCACCGGCUAACUCCGUGCCAGCAGCCGCGGUAAUACGGAGGGUGCGAGCGUUAAUCGGAAUUACUGGGCGUAAAGCGCGCGUAGGUGGCUUGAUAAGGCGGUUGUGAAAGCCCCGGGCUCAACCUGGGAACGGCAUCCGGAACUGUCAAGCUAGAGUGCAGGAGAGGAAGGUAGAAUUCCCGGUGUAGCGGUGAAAUGCGUAGAGAUCGGGAGGAAUACCAGUGGCGAAGGCGGCCUUCUGGACUGACACUGACACUGAGGUGCGAAAGCGUGGGUAGCAAACAGGAUUAGAUACCCCGGUAGUC
RNAcentral lists this ribosomal RNA (465 nucleotides) under Vreelandella stevensii. Its description in RNAcentral is "partial 16S ribosomal RNA". It matches the Rfam family "Bacterial small subunit ribosomal RNA", at positions 338 to 795 of the family's 1533-position model. The record is from RNAcentral. Lineage: Bacteria; Pseudomonadati; Pseudomonadota; Gammaproteobacteria; Oceanospirillales; Halomonadaceae.